UACGGAGGGAGCUAGCGUUGUUCGGAUAUACUGGGCGUAAAGCGCACGUAGGCGGCGCCGUAAGUCAGGGGUGAAAGCCCGGAGCUCAACUCCGGAAUAGCCUUUGAGACUGGGAGACUUGAAUCCAGGAGAGGCGAGUGGAAUUCCGAGUGUAGAGGUGAAAUUCGUAGAUAUUCGGAAGAACACCAGUGGCGAAGGCGACUCGCUGGACAAGUAUUGACGCUGAGGUGCGAAAGCGUGGGGAGCAAACAGG
RNAcentral lists this ribosomal RNA (253 nucleotides) under uncultured bacterium. Its description in RNAcentral is "partial 16S ribosomal RNA". It matches the Rfam family "Bacterial small subunit ribosomal RNA", at positions 524 to 776 of the family's 1533-position model. The record is from RNAcentral.